CAUAUAUCAUUUAGAAAAUCUAAGAUAGCUAACAACUAACGAAAAAAGUGAAAAUGAAAAGAAGAGAGAGCUGGGGUUAUUAUGAUAGAAUUUUCUUUUAGUAAAGUCAGUUAGAACACGUGUGGUACUAAUCAUGAUUAGCACUAAGCCCCUCUUGAGAGCAAUGAUUCAUUCCAUAGUCUCCCCCACAUAGACAUCUUCAACACACACACUAUAACUUUUUCUAAUCUCCUUCAGCAUCUUUG
This 245-nucleotide long non-coding RNA is filed under the name Glycine max (soybean). Its description in RNAcentral is "long non-coding RNA (GMAX_LNC001206)". Lineage: Eukaryota; Viridiplantae; Streptophyta; Magnoliopsida; Fabales; Fabaceae. The record is from RNAcentral.